UGAGCAACCUGCCUCAAAGAGGGGAAUAGCCUCCCGAAAGGGAGAUUAAUACCGCAUAAUAUGUUUAAGUCGCAUGACUUUAACAUCAAAGGAUUUUCUUUUAGAAAUUCCACUUUGAGAUGGACCCGCGGUGCAUUAGCUAGUUGGUGAGGUAAUGGCUCACCAAGGCGACGACGGGUAGCCGGCCUGGAGAGGGUGACCCGGCCACACUGGGACUGAGACACGGCCCAGCUCCGUAGGGAG
This 243-nucleotide ribosomal RNA is filed under the name uncultured bacterium. RNAcentral's name for it is "partial 16S ribosomal RNA". It matches the Rfam family "Bacterial small subunit ribosomal RNA", at positions 118 to 347 of the family's 1533-position model. The record is from RNAcentral.